AAAUGCCCACUUAUAACCAUAGGUCUACUGUCUGGAGUAGGGGGUGAGACCAAAGAAGUUGAUAUUGAGUCUCAGUUUACAUGAGAAGAAGAUUCUAUUAAAGAGGUUGUUGAGAGUUGCAGAGGAAGAUAAUGAAAAGUUUUUGUUGAAGCUCAAAAACUGGAUUGAUAAGUAUUAGAGACUCUUCUUUUUUCUUCAUUUCCUUUCCCAUUUUUUGCUGAACUGAAUUUUUUUCCCUUGAAUGUAUUUAUUGAGUUACUUUCUCUGCAUCUAGGUUGUGCUCAAAGUUGGACUUGAUGUUUCCAAAAUCAAAAUCUGGUUUGACUGUUUGAGCAUUUAAAUGUUGAUGCAGAAACUUAUGUAGAAAGCGGAGCUUUGCCAACAAUCUUCAACUUCUCUGUUAACAUACUUGAGGUACGAGGUGACCGACUGUCUGUCUGAAACCCGUCAGACAGACUCUUGGAAUCUUAGAGCAGCCUUCUACAGUGGGACGACUCUCGGAACACCGUGAGAGGAGGUGUCGAUGACUCAUUGCUUUGGUGGCAGCUGAGUUGGCUACGACGAUGGAGUUGAUGGAGUUAGUUGAAUUCCAAAAUUAGACCCAUAUAACCAACCCCAUAUAAUUGGGAUUGUUGUCGGUUGAAUUGGGCUGAGGGCAACACUCUCAAUUCGCUCUUAAGCCAAGGUGUGGUUGAGUAGUCUGAGGCCCGAUGUGGCCGAGGGCUGAUAGGCCUGUCUUGCAAGGAGUGAAGAAAGGAGGAUGUUAGAGGCCCCGGGUUGGUACACGAGGCGAAGACUCCGACGGUCAAGUUAGUACGAGAGCAGUACAAAGUGGACGAGGCCUGAGCUGUGAGCACUCAGACGAGACUAAGAGUUUUCAAGUCCAAGUUCUUAAGUUCCAGCCCUUUACCUUGAGGGGGUUAUCUCCUAUUUAUACUUGAGGCCACCUGGAGGUAGAUGGGCUCAGACGGUCCAAAUGUGGUUCGUAUGUGAGGGGCGGGGUCAUCCGAGGUCACCAAGUGACACCAUGCCAUUGGUUCCAAAAUGUCUGUCGAGCUCUAUUCCACGCACACCCUAAUUGGGUCCACUCUGAACGCCGCCGCCUAACACAUGCAAGCCCACUAUUGGGCCAGGCCAUAUGCGCCUACAUUAGGGAUAAAGCUUGGAUGAUGUUGAUGAUGAUGACAACAACACAACAAUAACAAUAAUCUUUUUUCUCGGCGUUCAAUCUA
Nelumbo nucifera (sacred lotus) is the source of this 1232-nucleotide non-coding RNA. NCBI's taxonomy places the organism in Eukaryota, Viridiplantae, Streptophyta, Magnoliopsida, Proteales, Nelumbonaceae. The record is from RefSeq and is a predicted model, not a curated record.